CGAAGGGUGCAAGCGUUACUCGGAAUUACUGGGCGUAAAGUGUGCGCAGGCGGCCGAGCAAGUCAGGUGUGAAAUCCCCGGGCUUAACCUGGGAAUUGCGCUUGAAACUAGCGGGCUUGAGUGUGGCAGAGGGGGGUGGAAUUCCACGUGUAGCAGUGAAAUGCGUAGAGAUGUGGAGGAACACCGAUGGCGAAGGCAGCCCCCUGGGUCAACACUGACGCUCAUGCAUGAAAGCGUGGGGAGCAAACAGGA
Molecule: ribosomal RNA, 252 nt
Filed under: uncultured prokaryote
Description: partial 16S ribosomal RNA
Rfam family: Bacterial small subunit ribosomal RNA
Source: RNAcentral